This 64-nucleotide transfer RNA is filed under the name Lepinotus reticulatus. Its description in RNAcentral is "tRNA-Gly". Lineage: Eukaryota; Metazoa; Arthropoda; Insecta; Psocodea; Trogiidae. The record is from RNAcentral.
AUUUAUUUAAUAUAAUAUAGUAUAUUUAGCUUCCAACUAAAACGUCUUUUAUUAAGAAUAAAUA